This 92-nucleotide microRNA precursor is filed under the name Malus domestica (apple). RNAcentral describes it as "Malus x domestica MIR5225 microRNA precursor family". It matches the Rfam family "MIR5225 microRNA precursor family". RNAcentral also lists the same sequence under 1 other name. The record is from Rfam by way of RNAcentral. Lineage: Eukaryota; Viridiplantae; Streptophyta; Magnoliopsida; Rosales; Rosaceae.
CGUCGGGACUUCUGUCGUGGGUGAGAUGGUGCCGAUGCCACGUAAUUCGGGGCAGCGAGCUUCAUCUCUCCUCGACAGAAGCCUCUAAUGCU